GGCUCAGGAUGAACGCUGGCGGCGUGCCUAACACAUGCAAGUCGAACGGAGUAUAGAAGAAGCUUGCUUUUGAUAUACUUAGUGGCGGACGGGUGAGUAACGUGUGAGCAAUCUGCCUCUAUGAGGGGGAUAACACAGGGAAACCUGUGCUAAUACCGCAUAACAUAUUUUAGUCGCAUGACUUUAAUAUCAAAGGAGAAAUCCGCAUAGAGAUGAGCUCGCAUCUGAUUAGAUAGUUGGUGAGGUAACGGCUCACCAAGUCUACGAUCAGUAGCCGGACUGAGAGGUUGAACGGCCACAUUGGAACUGAGAAACGGUCCAGACUCCUACGGGAGGCAGCAGUGGGGAAUAUUGGGCAAUGGGCGAAAGCCUGACCCAGCGACGCCGCGUGAGGGAAGAAGGUCUUCGGAUUGUAAACCUCUUUCAGCAGGGAAGAAGCAAGUGACGGUACCUGCAGAAGAAGUCACGGCUAACUACGUG
RNAcentral lists this ribosomal RNA (480 nucleotides) under uncultured bacterium. Its description in RNAcentral is "bacterial SSU rRNA". It matches the Rfam family "Bacterial small subunit ribosomal RNA", at positions 21 to 507 of the family's 1533-position model. The record is from RNAcentral.